GUGUGCACCGUAGCCCCAGCUUCUCUCACGGCCUCUCUCAAACCUCCUGGGCCCCCCCUUGCCCCGGCCCCCCCGGAUCUGCAGACCCGCGGCUGAGAGCGGACUUGGCCUGUGCGCGUCUCUGGGCUUGGCAGAAGGCUUCCCGCCCGGGUGCUGUGCGUGAGCGCUGGGGACGCGCUGCGGGGCGAGGCGCGGGGCGAGGCGCGGGGCUGAGCCGGGCUGGGCGCGGGCAGGGCGCGGAGGGGCCGGAGAACUCGCGGAGCUGCCCGCCCGGCCCCGGGCCCCCCCGGCCUGGGAACGCGGCUGCUGAGGAGCCCCCGCCCGCCAAACCCCAGCACCUCCGCGGGCCCCCGUGCUCGGGGCAUUGCAUGGAAACGCAGGGCAUGGGCUCGGAGCCCCGAAACCCCUCCAUGUGGAUUACUUGGUGCUUCUCAGCCGGACUCGGAAGAUUCCAUCUCUUGUCUCCAAUGAGUGAACUGAUUACAUUCUACCUAACAACCACCGGGAACUAACCUGGAGGUGAAAUCGAAGGUUUGUGGCUGAGCUGGAUGGAUGGAUGCUUUGAACCAAGAAAGAAGGUCAAGUCAAAAGUUUCAAAAAAUUGGAGGGAAGAGGCCAAGAGCUGACUCAUCACCAUGGAGAAUACACUUUGCUGUGUUCAAAGACUUUGUUUUGAGCCCCUGGCCACCCCUGCGGCACCUGCAUGGGAAGCAGAGGUGCAGAGUUCCUGGGAGUCUACAACAUUGUCCCUGGCACUGAGGACAGUUACAACGAAAAGCAAAGUCAGGAAGAAUCCCCCUGCCCUCCGGCCUGUGGAGAAGGUCCCAGUCUGGGGUCCCCCGUUGUGAUGGGAAAAGCCGUGCUCCAGCCUGUGUCUCUGGAGAAGGUCCCCUAAGCACCAUCCCAUCCUCACUGAAAUAAUCACAGGGCAUCUCACCAGGUUCAGUGGAUUCUAAAUAGGUCCUGUUGGAUGGAAGAGAGAAAGAAGAGAAAGAAAGAGAAGUGAAGAGAGGAGGAGAAAAGAAAAAAGACGUGGAUACCCCAAAUCAGGACUUUCUCUCCUGCCAACACCAUUAAUGUGUUUCCCAAUCCUUUUUCCCACACUGCACUGUAAAUACCGCCCCCCCAUGAGAAUUUUCAGAUUGAUGUGAGAAAAUGCCAAGAAACAACAACAACAACAACAACAAAAUACCAAGACUCCUUGAUAACCAGCAGGAGAGGAGAGGUGUGAGAUGAUGGGUGGAUACCAGGCAUGUGACAGGACCUGCAUGUGUCUCUCAUAUCUGAAGGAAACAGACAGCAGCCCUGAGUCAGGUCAGGCCGUGAAAGAUGAUCAUUUUAGCUCACUAACGGGGAGAAGAUAUCAGAAGAGACACACGUAUGGUAGAGCUGAAAGACCAGGAACUUUCCCAUCAGAAAACUGAGAAUCUGAAUUCCACCCUCAAGAAGCCUCCAUUUCCUCACUUAUAAAGUGGCCAAAGCUCUUAGAUUCCAUGGAAAAUAUGGUGGGGUAAAGGAGAGGGGAGGUGUGGGGACUGGAUGAAGGGGGGCUGUUUUGAUGGCGUGGUAGCCUCCUUAGAACUUUGGAGGCAGGUUGGGGAGCCUUGUACACAUAAAGAGUAUGAAGCUGGGGGCUGGUUGGUGGCGCACCUGGCUGAGCGCACGUUACAAUGCACAAGGGCCCUAGUUUGAGCCCCUGAUCCCCACUUGCAGGGGGAAAGCUUUGCAAGUGGUGAAGCAGGGCUGCAGGUGUCCCUGUUUCUCUCUUCCUCACUGUCUCCCCUGCGCCCUCAAUUUCUGGCUGUCUAUAUCCAAUAAAUAAAGAAAAAAAUAAAAGUAGGGGGUCGAUGGUAGUGCAACAGGUUAAGCAUACAUGGCACGAAAUGCAAGGACUGGCUCAAGGAUCCUGGUUCCAGCCCUGACUGCCCCCACCUGCAGGGGGUCGCUUCACAAGCUGUGAAACAGGUUUGAAGGUGUCUUUCUCUCCUCCUCUAUGUCUUACCCUCCUGUCUGGAUUUCUUUCUGUCUUAUCCAACAAUAAUAACAACAACAAUAAGGGCAACAGAAAUGGGGAAAAAUGGCCUCCAGGAGCAGUGGAUUCACAGUGCUGGCACUGAGCUCCAGUGAUAACCCUAGAGGCAAUAUAUAAAUUUAAAAAAAUAAAUUUUUUUAAAUUAAAAAAGAAAGAAAAUGAAUGAGAAGCGAGUCAGGUAGUAGUGCAGCGGGUUAAGCUCAGGUGGCACAAAGCUCAAGGACCAGCAUAAGGAUCCGGGUUCGAGCCCCCAGCUCCCCACCCGCAGGGGAGUCGCUUCACAGGUGGUGAAGCAGGUCUGCAGGUGUCUGUCUUUCUCUCCCCCUCUCUGUCUUCCCCUCCUCUCUCCAUUUCUCUCUGUCCUAUCUAACAAUGACAUCAAUAACAAGAAUAAUAACUACAACAAUAAAAAAAUGAAUGAGCAGGGCCGGGUGGUGGUACACCUGGUUGAGCGCACAUUUUACAGUGCCCAAGGACCCGGGUUCGAGCCCCUAGUCCCCACCUGCAGGGGGAAAGCUUCACGAGUGGUGAAACAGGACUGCAGGUAUCUCUCGAUCUCUCUUUCUCUCCCCUCUCCAUUUCUGACUAUCCAAUAAAUAAAUAAAGAUAAUAAAAAAAUGUUAAAAAUGAAUGAGCAAAAUGUCUUCAGGAGAGUGGCAGAUAGUUCUGGGUUCUAGGUACAAAUAUUGACUCUGCCAAUAUUUUGUUCUGUAUGACCUCUGGGGAGUUUUGGUUCUCGUGUUUCUUCUCCAUAGACUAGGGAUGUAAGCACUGACUGUGAUGGAUAAACUACAAGCAAACGCCUAACCCCUAGGAGGGGAUCCUUAACCGACAGAUGAAUACCAAGAUCUUUGCUGAGUUUGCACUCUGUGUUGGAUUUAUCCAUUUUAAACACUUGUUGUCUGGGGUCUCUGGGAGCUGUGAUGGAUUUGACUUGCUCACCUGCUAAGUACAGCCCUAGAGAGAAAAACCAGUGAGUAUCUGAGUUCUAUAGUCACACAGAACAGUGGCCGUUGACCCUCUGUCUUUCAGGUCUCAGAGAUGGAGUUGCAGGAGAUAGACUAGAGCCCAGACCAUGCUUUUUCUGUGUCCCCCUUCCAAAAAACUAUAGCAGGAACCUGAAGAUGUAAGUGCACUUUUGGGUCUCUUAGUAAGUAAAAGAUACAAUUUUCCAUCUAGGUAAUGCAACGAGAUGACAAAGCUCCCCCCAGGCCACACUGUAUUUCAGGUGGGCAUCACAGACACUAACUUCUCAGCAAAUCACACAACUAAUUAGGGCUGGGAGGUGGUUCAAACAGUCAAGAGCACAGUUUACCCUGUAGACUACAGGGUGGAUCCAGACCCUGGCAGGGAAGGAAGGUGCCGGAAUCUACUCCUCCCUCACUCUCUGUGGCAAGAGGUCCCCAUUCUGAGAGCUCAAGUUUCCCCAAAGCCUUCCUACUGGGGAGUCUCUGACACUUGGAUCAGAAAGAGUCUCAGGCAAUGACUUGGGAAA
Molecule: long non-coding RNA, 3527 nt
Organism: Erinaceus europaeus (western European hedgehog)
Lineage: Eukaryota; Metazoa; Chordata; Mammalia; Eulipotyphla; Erinaceidae
Exons: 5
Source: RefSeq, a predicted model, not a curated record